GCAGAGGUAGCCAAGCUAGGCUAAAGGCGCAGAGUCGCUGAGCCUGUCGCGCAGGCGUUCGUGGGUUCGAAUCCCACCCUCUGCACCA
Molecule: transfer RNA, 88 nt
Filed under: Candidatus Bathyarchaeota archaeon
Lineage: Archaea; Thermoproteati; Candidatus Bathyarchaeota
Description: tRNA-Ser
Rfam family: tRNA
About the family: Transfer RNA (tRNA) molecules are approximately 80 nucleotides in length. Their secondary structure includes four short double-helical elements and three loops (D, anti-codon, and T loops).
Source: RNAcentral